UUUUAGGAUGAUUAGAAAAUAAAAAAGCACAAAAAUGGCUCUAUAAAAGACUUGGGAAUAAUAACUGCUCAGUAUUAAAAAUCUGCAAACGAUUCGAGUUACUGCAAGCGAGCAGCACUGUUCAAAAUGAAUUUUCUUUUGAUGCUGUUAGUUGUUCUGUGUUUCGCAGCUGUUAUUUAUGUUGCUAUGGCAGACGAUGAUUCUCAUGUAAUGGCAGGAAAACCUCUCUACUUUACAAAAGUUACUGAUUCUGAUGGCAACGUCAUUGGAGUCGAGCAACAUGAAGGAUGAAUCUUCACGCAAUACCAGUGAAAGCAAUACCAUAAAAUUUUAUCAAACGUUCUAUCUGAUCCAUUUCAAAAUUCUUUCAAAAAUUUAAAUAGAUGGAAAAAAAUUUACAAAAUUAUUCCAUUUUGUAACUGAGUACUAAAGAAUAUGAAUAUGCAACUUAUUAAAAAAAAUAUUUCUUUUUUAAUUGUAAUAAAAAUUUAUUUCUGAAUGUUCA
Argiope bruennichi is the source of this 505-nucleotide long non-coding RNA. RefSeq lists it as uncharacterized. The transcript has 2 exons. NCBI's taxonomy places the organism in Eukaryota, Metazoa, Arthropoda, Arachnida, Araneae, Araneidae. The record is from RefSeq and is a predicted model, not a curated record.